AAGGCCUAACACAUGCAAGUCGAGCGCGUCCUUCGGGGUGAGCGGCGGACGGGUUAGUAACGCGUGGGAACGUGCCCUUUAGCUCAGAAUAGCCCUUGGAAACGAGGAGUAAUACUGGAUACGCCCUUUGGGGGAAUAAAGGAUCGGCCCGCGUUAGAUUAGGUAGUUGGUGGGGUAACGGCCUACCAAGCCUACGAUCUAUAGCUGGUUUGAGAGGAUGAUCAGCAACACUGGGACUGAGACACGGCCCAGACUCCUACGGGAGGCAGCAGAGGGGAAUCUUGGACAAUGGGCGCAAGCCUGAUCCAGCCAUGCCGCGUGAGUGAAGAAGGCCCUAGGGUCGUAAAGCUCUUUCGCCAGGGAUGAUAAUGACAGUACCUGGUAAAGAAACCCCGGCUAACUCCGUGCCAGCAGCCGCGGUAAUACGGAGGGGGUUAGCGUUGUUCGGAAUUACUGGGCGUAAAGCGCACGUAGGCGGACUAUUAAGUCAGGGGUGAAAUCCCGGGGCUCAACCCCGGAACUGCCUUUGAUACUGGUAGUCUUGAGUUCGAGAGAGGUGAGUGGAAUUCCGAGUGUAGAGGUGAAAUUCGUAGAUAUUCGGAGGAACACCAGUGGCGAAGGCGGCUCACUGGCUUGAUACUGACGCUGAGGUGCGAAAG
This 659-nucleotide ribosomal RNA is filed under the name uncultured bacterium. RNAcentral's name for it is "bacterial SSU rRNA". It matches the Rfam family "Bacterial small subunit ribosomal RNA", at positions 43 to 759 of the family's 1533-position model. The record is from RNAcentral.